This is a long non-coding RNA of Nothoprocta perdicaria, 331 nucleotides long. RefSeq lists it as uncharacterized. The record is from RefSeq and is a predicted model, not a curated record. NCBI's taxonomy places the organism in Eukaryota, Metazoa, Chordata, Aves, Tinamiformes, Tinamidae. The transcript is spliced from 2 exons.
CUGCCUUUGACAUCCGCUAGGAGCUUCCAGCGUGGCACAACCAAAGGAAGCUCCUCACCACUGAUGAGUCUUCGUGGUGCUAGAGACACCUUCUUGAGGAGCAACAUUCUUUGACUUGUUUGGAGUGGAUUACAACAGAGAAAGUACAACAUGUGCUGUAGAAGAUUACACACAUCCUGCCACACUCCGCAGAUGGCUGAUACAAAAAUCAGAGACAAUGCUAAAAUAAUUAAAAAGCCCACAAAAAUAAGCCAGUGCAUUCAGCUCCUUUGUGAGGCUGAGACUAAGGAAGCUGAGCCAGCCAGCCUGAAAUGCACAAUAUCACUGUAAG